RNAcentral lists this ribosomal RNA (715 nucleotides) under uncultured bacterium. RNAcentral describes it as "bacterial SSU rRNA". It matches the Rfam family "Bacterial small subunit ribosomal RNA", at positions 104 to 832 of the family's 1533-position model. The record is from RNAcentral.
GGGUGAGUAACGUGUGGGCAACCUGCCUCAUACAGAGGGAUAAUCAUGUGAAAACGUGACUAAUACCGCAUGUCGUUUCGGGAGGGCAUCCUCCUGAAAGAAAAGGAGCAAUCCGGUAUGAGAUGGGCCCGCAUCUGAUUAGCUAGUUGGCGAGAUAACAGCCCACCAAGGCGACGAUCAGUAGCCGACCUGAGAGGGUGAUCGGCCACAUUGGGACUGAGACACGGCCCAAACUCCUACGGGAGGCAGCAGUGGGGAAUAUUGCACAAUGGGGGAAACCCUGAUGCAGCAACGCCGCGUGAAGGAAGACGGUUUUCGGAUUGUAAACUUCUAUCAAUAGGGACGAAGAAAGUGACUGUACCUAAAUAAGAAGCCCCGGCUAACUACGUGCCAGCAGCCGCGGUAAUACGUAGGGGGCAAGCGUUAUCCGGAAUUACUGGGUGUAAAGGGUGAGUAGGCGGCAUGGCAAGUAAGAUGUGAAAGCCCGAGGCUUAACCUCGGGAUUGCAUUUUAAACUGCUAAGCUAGAGUACAGGAGAGGAAAGCGGAAUUCCUAGUGUAGCGGUGAAAUGCGUAGAUAUUAGGAAGAACACCAGUGGCGAAGGCGGCUUUCUGGACUGAAACUGACGCUGAGGCACGAAAGCGUGGGGAGCGAACAGGAUUAGAUACCCUGGUAGUCCACGCCGUAAACGAUGAGUGCUAGGUGUCGGAGGGGA